Molecule: ribosomal RNA, 533 nt
Filed under: Salmonella enterica subsp. enterica serovar Derby
Lineage: Bacteria; Pseudomonadati; Pseudomonadota; Gammaproteobacteria; Enterobacterales; Enterobacteriaceae
Description: bacterial SSU rRNA
Rfam family: Bacterial small subunit ribosomal RNA
Source: RNAcentral
UGGUGCCUUCGGGAACCGUGAGACAGGUGCUGCAUGGCUGUCGUCAGCUCGUGUUGUGAAAUGUUGGGUUAAGUCCCGCAACGAGCGCAACCCUUAUCCUUUGUUGCCAGCGGUUAGGCCGGGAACUCAAAGGAGACUGCCAGUGAUAAACUGGAGGAAGGUGGGGAUGACGUCAAGUCAUCAUGGCCCUUACGACCAGGGCUACACACGUGCUACAAUGGCGCAUACAAAGAGAAGCGACCUCGCGAGAGCAAGCGGACCUCAUAAAGUGCGUCGUAGUCCGGAUUGGAGUCUGCAACUCGACUCCAUGAAGUCGGAAUCGCUAGUAAUCGUGGAUCAGAAUGCCACGGUGAAUACGUUCCCGGGCCUUGUACACACCGCCCGUCACACCAUGGGAGUGGGUUGCAAAAGAAGUAGGUAGCUUAACCUUCGGGAGGGCGCUUACCACUUUGUGAUUCAUGACUGGGGUGAAGUCGUAACAAGGUAACCGUAGGGGAACCUGCGGUUGGAUCACCUCCUUACCUGAAAGAAGC